This 447-nucleotide ribosomal RNA is filed under the name uncultured bacterium. Its description in RNAcentral is "partial 16S ribosomal RNA". It matches the Rfam family "Bacterial small subunit ribosomal RNA", at positions 29 to 523 of the family's 1533-position model. The record is from RNAcentral.
AACGAACGCUGGCGGCAGGCUUAACACAAGCAAGUCGAGCGCCCCGCAAGGGGAGCGGCAGACGGGUGAGUAACGCGUGGGAAUCUACCGUACCCUACGGAAUAGCUCCGGGAAACUGGAAUUAAUACCGUAUACGCCCUACGGGGGAAAGAUUUAUCGGGGUAUGAUGAGCCCGCGUUGGAUUAGCUAGUUGGUGGGGUAAAGGCCUACCAAGGCGACGAUCCAUAGCUGGUCUGAGAGGAUGAUCAGCCACAUUGGGACUGAGACACGGCCCAAACUCCUACGGGAGGCAGCAGUGGGGAAUAUUGGACAAUGGGCGCAAGCCUGAUCCAGCCAUGCCGCGUGAGUGAAGAAGGUCUUAGGAUUGUAAAGCUCUUUCACCGAUGAAGAUAAUGACGGUAGUCGGAGGAGAAGCCCCGGCUAACUUCGUGCCAGCAGCCGCCGUAA